GGGAAUUGAUUUAACUUAUUUGUUUCUCUUUCAGGACCUGAUCUGUAACCCAAAGAACACCAUAUAGCAGAUCUGACUUAAAAAAAAAAAGAGAGAGAGAGCACACCAUCGCAGAUCAUGCUUGAGGACCUCUGGAAUCGCACCAAACCAUCGCAGAAUUGAUUCAUGGAUGAGGUAAGUACAUAUAAUCCCCCUUCUCAAAUUCCUGACCUAACCUCUAUUGUGGAAAGCUAUGUCAUAACUCUACAGGAGCGACGACUUCAGCAGUCUCAACCAUGUAGGAUCUGUGGAUAUGUGGGACAUCUAACGUCCCAAUGUCCUACACUUUAUGAGGAUGACCAACCAGUUCAUGCAUAUGGAGGAUUCUAUGAACA
Molecule: long non-coding RNA, 374 nt
Filed under: Manihot esculenta (cassava)
Lineage: Eukaryota; Viridiplantae; Streptophyta; Magnoliopsida; Malpighiales; Euphorbiaceae
Description: long non-coding RNA (MESC_LNC008794)
Source: RNAcentral